Ictalurus furcatus (blue catfish) is the source of this 1877-nucleotide long non-coding RNA. RefSeq lists it as uncharacterized. The record is from RefSeq and is a predicted model, not a curated record. The transcript is spliced from 3 exons. Lineage: Eukaryota; Metazoa; Chordata; Actinopteri; Siluriformes; Ictaluridae.
GGUACGGAUGUGUUUGGACAGGUGAUCACUGCGCAUAAAACGCUUCGGACACUCAGGACACGAAAACUUCUUUUCCCCUACACACAGACACAGAGAAAUUCACUUACAAGGGGUGGAGGAUUACACCUGACAUAAAGUGUGUGUGCGCCGGUGUCUCUGCAGCUCGUCGGAGCGGGUGAAUCGUUUCCCACAGUGAGCCCAGUUGCAGACAAACGGCCGCUCGCCCGAGUGCCAGCGCAGGUGUGCCCGCAGGUGAGACGUCUUCCCAUAAACCUUCCCACAGCCUGUGAUGUGGCAGAUGUGCUGCUUCUUCUUACUGGGACACCCGGUGGUGCUUCUGCUCACACAACUGAGCCAGGUGUGCCCUGACAGAGGUGAAACCCUGAGGACAGCUUCGAGAUAGCCAUCACUAAGCCAAGACCUGUAUGUGCAUUUAUUGAAGUUCAUAGUUAGGAAAAAUUUCUCACACAGAUACGUGCUUCCAAAAAGGCACAUUACCCCACUGAACACUUUGGACAGCUCUGGGAAGCAUGAAGGUAAUUCUCUCCGAAACUGUCCAGUCUUGUCUGCUUUUCCCUGAGCCUCUCGGAAUUUAGUUUUUAGCUCAAUGUUGCACUGCAAGUCAAUAAGCUCCAUUUGCAACAAACCUGGGACACUGUCCACACCAGCUAAGAAGGGAUCUGAGAACAGCUGGAAAGUGUCAUGGUGUGCCUCGAAGUCAGCAAAACACUGAUCAAAUUCCUGCAGUAGGUUUUCAAUAGCAGAGGCAUGUUCAUCACCACUGAAUGCACUGUCCUCCUGCACCAGAGAUCUGCAUGCUAUGAAAUGACUGAGGUUUCUUGCAGAAAGCAGUUUUCCACAAUCUCAGUUUUGUGGAGAAGGCUUUCACACGCUGACCAGGGCCCUGGAGCUUCAGGUGAAGGAUGUUCAACUCUUGCGUUAUGUCCACAAAGAACGCAAGAUCCAUGACCCAUUUAGGAUAAUCAAAUUCAGGAAUGUCCAUUCUGCCAUCUUCCAUGAAUCGCUUCACUGCUCUUAACUCAAAAAAUCUCUUCAAGACCUUCCCCCUGCUAAGCCAGUGCACCUGAGUAAACUACACCACCAUACAGUAGCUCAAUUUCUUCUAAAAAGGCCUGAAACUGGCGGUGCUGUAAGCUCCGGUCCUGAUCUAAUCAAUACAACAGACAUGUUCAUAUUUCACGUUUUUGCUGCAGAGCAUCUGUAUAACGCGAUGUAUAACACGGUGCAGAACAACUGCUGGAUCUGAAUUUUCCUCUUCUAACUUUCCUUGUACUAGCGCUACCACUCCGCUUUUUCAUAGUGGUGUACUGCAUAACUCUGUGUGUGAGUGUGUGUGUUACCGUCCAUCUCCAUCCUUGCAGUAUGGACAUGUGCACGCUUCUCUGCGUGAGCGGCGACUCGGAGGAGUCGUGUCUAAACUCUGAUCCAACAUCGAGUCGUCCAUGACGUCUCCUGCAGCUCCCUGAUCACCUGCGCACACGCACACACAUACACUUUAUACAACACAGCAGAAGCUGCAUGUGCAAUUCAAUGCACAUAUAUAAAUCAACUGGGCAAAACUAGUGUGAAUAAAGGACCAAGAAUGGUGCACGCAAGUUACAGGUGAGAAUGGCGUGUGUGCGCGAGUUACAGGUGAGAAUGGCGAGCGCAAGUUACAAGUGAGAAUGAGAGUCCACGUUAUGAAUCCUGGAUCAAUUAAAUUAGCCCCUCCCCCUGCUCACGGUGACCUCAGAACCUGACUUAACCAAACCAAUGACAUUUAUGGAGGCUUCACUGGUAUAUUAGAAGUAUGGAGCAGUUUCAGCUAGCACUGAAAGAUGGUGGUGGUGAUGGUGGUGAUGAUGCUGACCUGCUGU